This 1058-nucleotide ribosomal RNA is filed under the name uncultured Sporichthya sp. RNAcentral's name for it is "bacterial SSU rRNA". It matches the Rfam family "Bacterial small subunit ribosomal RNA", at positions 281 to 1352 of the family's 1533-position model. Lineage: Bacteria; Bacillati; Actinomycetota; Actinomycetes; Sporichthyales; Sporichthyaceae. The record is from RNAcentral.
GGGUAGCCGGCCUGAGAGGGCGACCGGCCACACUGGGACUGAGACACGGCCCAGACUCCUACGGGAGGCAGCAGUGGGGAAUAUUGCGCAAUGGGCGAAAGCCUGACGCAGCGACGCCGCGUGAGGGACGAAGGCCUUCGGGUCGUAAACCUCUUUCAGCAGGGAAGAAGCGAAAGUGACGGUACCUGCAGAAGAAGCACCGGCUAACUACGUGCCAGCAGCCGCGGUAAUGCGUAGGGUGCAAGCGUUGUCCGGAAUUAUUGGGCGUAAAGAGCUCGUAGGCGGCUUGUCACGUCUGCUGUGAAAACUCGGGGCUCAACCCCGAGCCUGCAGUGGAUACGGGCUAGCUAGAGUGCGGUAGGGGAGACUGGAAUUCCUGGUGUAGCGGUGAAAUGCGCAGAUAUCAGGAGGAACACCGGUGGCGAAGGCAGGUCUCUGGACCGAUACUGACGCUGAGGAGCGAAAGCGUGGGGAGCGAACAGGAUUAGAUACCCUGGUAGUCCACGCCGUAAACGUUGGGCGCUAGGUGUGGGGAACUUUCCACGUUCUCCGUGCCGCAGCUAACGCAUUAAGCGCCCCGCCUGGGGAGUACGGCCGCAAGGCUAAAACUCAAAGGAAUUGACGGGGGCCCGCACAAGCGGCGGAGCAUGUGGCUUAAUUCGACGCAACGCGAAGAACCUUACCAAGGCUUGACAUAUACCGAAAACUGGCAGAGAUGUCAGGUCCGCAAGGGCGGUAAACAGGUGGUGCAUGGUUGUCGUCAGCUCGUGUCGUGAGAUGUUGGGUUAAGUCCCGCAACGAGCGCAACCCUUGUUCUAUGUUGCCAGCGCGUAAUGGCGGGGACUCAUAGGAGACUGCCGGGGUCAACUCGGAGGAAGGUGGGGAUGACGUCAAAUCAUCAUGCCCCUUAUGUCUUGGGCUGCACACAUGCUACAAUGGCCGGUACAAAGGGCUGCGAAACCGCAAGGUGGAGCGAAUCCCAAAAAGCCGGUCUCAGUUCGGAUUGGGGUCUGCAACUCGACCCCAUGAAGUCGGAGUCGCUAGUAAUCGCAGAUCAG